GACGAACGCUGGCGGCGUGCUUAACACAUGCAAGUCGAACGGAAAGGCCCUGCUUGCAGGGUACUCGAGUGGCGAACGGGUGAGUAACACGUGGGUGAUCUGCCCUGCACUUCGGGAUAAGCUUGGGAAACUGGGUCUAAUACCGGAUAGGAGCCAUCUUUAGUGUGGUGGUUGGAAAGUUUUUUCGGUGUAGGAUGAGCUCGCGGCCUAUCAGCUUGUUGGUGGGGUAAUGGCCCACCAAGGCGGCGACGGGUAGCCGGCCUGAGAGGGUGUACGGCCACAUUGGGACUGAGAUACGGCCCAGACUCCUACGGGAGGCAGCAGUGGGGAAUAUUGCACAAUGGGCGCAAGCCUGAUGCAGCGACGCCGCGUGGGGGAUGAAGGCCUUCGGGUUGUAAACUCCUUUCGCUAGGGACGAAGCUUUGUUGUGACGGUACCUAGAGAAGAAGCACCGGCUAACUACGUG
Molecule: ribosomal RNA, 466 nt
Filed under: uncultured bacterium
Lineage: Bacteria
Description: partial 16S ribosomal RNA
Rfam family: Bacterial small subunit ribosomal RNA
Source: RNAcentral